CCUACGGGGGGCAGCAGUGGGGAAUAUUGGACAAUGGGCGAAAGCCUGAUCCAGCCAUGCCGCGUGUGUGAAGAAGGUCUUCGGAUUGUAAAGCACUUUAAGUUGGGAGGAAGGGCAGUUACCUAAUACGUAAUUGUUUUGACGUUACCGACAGAAUAAGCACCGGCUAACUCUGUGCCAGCAGCCGCGGUAG
Molecule: ribosomal RNA, 193 nt
Filed under: uncultured bacterium
Lineage: Bacteria
Description: partial 16S ribosomal RNA
Rfam family: Bacterial small subunit ribosomal RNA
Source: RNAcentral